UGGUGCGGCACAUCGGCUGGCAGGGGCCAGGAGUCGGCUCGGCAUGGGCACUACUUGGGCUGUCGGCUUGGCUAAAGCCAAGGGCAGCUUAUUGUGGAUUGAGGCAUUGGGGCGCAGUGCUAGGAGAACCGCAUGGCUUAUGUCCUUUAGGCUCUUGGACCUAACGCAGGCCAGGCUGGUAAUUGAGAGAAAUCAGGAAGUCGCGAGCCUCUGGGCUGUUGGAAUGCUGGGCAUGCAGGCCUCCUGCCUACUGGUCUGAGAGAAAAAUUAAGGGAAAAGCCAGUAUGGAUUGAGCUUCCCUGCUAAGUACCGUGAAUGAUGUUAGCUGCUUAGUCCUCUUGGUCGGGAGAAAGGUGGGCUGCUCCAGAGAUAUGAGAGAAAGAAAAUGGUCCAAGGACAAUAAAUGAUUUGACGCUUAUUAAUGCGGGAAAGAUACUGGAAAACACAGGACACUUGCUGAUUCCAGAAAUCCAGUUGGUGAACUCCCUGGAAGUCUCAUCACUAUGCACGUGGUUGUGCGCCCUCCUAUUGCAGACAAAAAGAACGAUAAAUUGAUGAAUGAUUCUCCAGAGCAGCCUCAAUGUUCAUGUUCAAUAUUGUAGCUUCUGGUAACAAGCUUCGUGGAGCUCCUUCAGUCUGUUAUUGUUUUCCGUGUCUUCUCAUGUGUUGCUGAUGGGAUGCAGUUCAAAUCUCAGUUACCGGGCGGUGAAGUAGCAUCAAGAAAUUCAUGGAUUCAUCAGCCAGACUUUUGUUACUUUGAAUCUUAUCGUGUCCGUAUGUAAAACGCGUUAUAGUUCCUUAUAGCAUGUGAUUUGUUACUGAGAAAAGGACCAUAUUGAUGGAUUAGGAGCUUCUUCUGUUUUUCUGGCAUCAAUGAAUACAAGCGUAAAAGAAAAAAAGCAAACGAACAUAUUGAUUUGAUUGAUUCGCAAGCUUAUUGUAAAAGCUGAAUUCGUUUUUAUUGGUUCAAGAGCGUUUUUUAUUCACCUGUA
Non-coding RNA from Malus domestica (apple), 992 nucleotides. Lineage: Eukaryota; Viridiplantae; Streptophyta; Magnoliopsida; Rosales; Rosaceae. The record is from RefSeq and is a predicted model, not a curated record.